RNAcentral lists this ribosomal RNA (254 nucleotides) under uncultured bacterium. Its description in RNAcentral is "partial 16S ribosomal RNA". It matches the Rfam family "Bacterial small subunit ribosomal RNA", at positions 524 to 776 of the family's 1533-position model. The record is from RNAcentral.
UACGUAGGGGGCGAGCGUUGUCCGGAGUUACUGGGCGUAAAGCGCGCGUAGGCGGUCUCUUACGUCCGGGGUGAAAGGUUCAGCGCUCAACGCGAACAGUGCCCUGGAGACUGGGGGACUUGAGUGUGGGAGGGGGCAGUGGAAUUCCGGGUGUAGCGGUGAAAUGCGUAGAUAUCCGGAGGAACACCGAUGGCGAAGGCAGCUGCCUGGCCUGACACUGACGCUGAGGUGCGAAAGCGUGGGGAGCGAACGGG